GAGUAACUGUUGACAUCGUGACGGUAUCCAACCAGAAAGCCACGGCUAACUACGUGCCAGCAGCCGCGGUAAUACGUAGGUGGCAAGCGUUGUCCGGAUUUAUUGGGCGUAAAGCGAGCGCAGGCGGUUUUUUAGGUCUGAUGUGAAAGCCUUCGGCUUAACCGGAGAAGUGCAUCGGAAACCGGGAGACUUGAGUGCGGAAGAGGACAGUGGAACUCCAUGUGUAGCGGUGAAAUGCGUAGAUAUAUGGAAGAACACCAGUGGCGAAGGCGGCUGUCUGGUCUGCAACUGACGCUGAGGCUCGAAAGCAUGGGUAGCGAACAGGAUUAGAUACCCUGGUAGUCCAUGCCGUAAACGAUGAGUGCUAAGUGUUGGAGGGUUUCCGCCCUUCAGUGCUGCAGCUAACGCAUUAAGCACUCCGCCUGGGGAGUACGACCGCAAGGUUGAAACUCAAAGGAAUUGACGGGGGCCCGCACAAGCGGUGGAGCAUGUGGUUUAAUUCGAUGCUACGCGAAGAACCUUACCAGGUCUUGACAUCUUCUGCUAACCUAAGAGAUUAGGCGUUCCCUCCGGGGACGGAAUGACAGGUGGUGCAUGGUUGUCGUCAGCUCGUGUCGUGAGAUGUUGGGUUAAGUCCCGCAACGAGCGCAACCCUUAUUGUCAGUUGCCAGCAUUUAGUUGGGCACUCUGGCGAGACUGCCGGUGACAAACCGGAGGAAGGUGGGGAUGACGUCAAAUCAUCAUGCCCCUUAUGACCUGGGCUACACGCGUGAUACAAUGGACGGUACAACGAGUCGCGAAACCGCGAGGUCAAGCUAAUCUCUGAAAGCCGUUCUCAGUUCGGAUUGCAGGCUGCAACUCGCCUGCAUGAAGUUGGAAUCGCUAGUAAUCGUGGAUCAGCAUGCCACGGUGAAUACGUUCCCGGGCCUUGUACACACCGCCCGUCACACCAUGAGAGUUUGUAACACCCAAAGCCGGUGAGGUAACCUUCGGGAACCAGCCGUCUAAGGUGGGACAGAUGAUUAGGGUGAAGUCGUAACAAGGUAGCCGUAGGAGAACCUGCGGCUGGAUCACCUCCUUUCUAA
RNAcentral lists this ribosomal RNA (1085 nucleotides) under uncultured bacterium. RNAcentral's name for it is "bacterial SSU rRNA". It matches the Rfam family "Bacterial small subunit ribosomal RNA", at positions 447 to 1533 of the family's 1533-position model. The record is from RNAcentral.